This 243-nucleotide long non-coding RNA is filed under the name Anas platyrhynchos platyrhynchos (common mallard). RNAcentral describes it as "lncRNA (ENSAPLG00000029685.1)". Lineage: Eukaryota; Metazoa; Chordata; Aves; Anseriformes; Anatidae. The record is from RNAcentral.
CUCAGGCCCAGCUCUGUAAACAGGUCUGAACUGAAAGAAAACAAUUCAGUCACUUUUUGAGGUUCUAAUACAUUUGCUCUACCUAUCACAAAUUAUAUUUCAUCUUCAUGUAUCUUUUCUCAGCUGGGGCUUUGCUCUUCACAGGCAAAUGGAAUGGUAUCAGUCCCUCCAGACUGUAUCUCCUCUACUGACACUCUGUGCCAGGUGAUCCAGUUGAGAUCCAGUUGGACACAUCAACAGAUC